RNAcentral lists this ribosomal RNA (497 nucleotides) under uncultured bacterium. RNAcentral describes it as "partial 16S ribosomal RNA". It matches the Rfam family "Bacterial small subunit ribosomal RNA", at positions 28 to 507 of the family's 1533-position model. The record is from RNAcentral.
GACGAACGCUGGCGGCGUGCCUAAUACAUGCAAGUCGAACGCUGAAGAGAGGAGCUUACUCUUCUUGGAUGAGUUGCGAACGGGUGAGUAACGCGUAGGUAACCUGCCUUGUAGCGGGGGAUAACUAUUGGAAACGAUAGCUAAUACCGCAUAACAAUGGAUGACACAUGUCAUUUAUUUGAAAGGGGCAAUUGCUCCACUACAAGAUGGACCUGCGUUGUAUUAGCUAGUAGGUGAGGUAAUGGCUCACCUAGGCGACGAUACAUAGCCGACCUGAGAGGGUGAUCGGCCAAACUGGGACUGAGACACGGCCCAGACUCCUACGGGAGGCAGCAGUAGGGAAUCUUCGGCAAUGGGGGCAACCCUGACCGAGCAACGCCGCGUGAGUGAAGAAGGGUGUCGGAUCGUAAAGCUCUGUUGUAAGUCAAGAACGGGUGUGAGAGUGGAAAGUUCACACUGUGACGGUAGCUUACCAGAAAGGGACGGCUAACUACGUG